GGUCGGUUAGCUCAGUUGGUUAGAGCGUGGUACUAAUAAUGCCAAGGUCAUGAGUUCGACUCUCAUACUGACCA
This 74-nucleotide transfer RNA is filed under the name Verticillium longisporum. RNAcentral describes it as "Verticillium dahliae var. longisporum tRNA". It matches the Rfam family "tRNA". From Rfam's summary of the family: Transfer RNA (tRNA) molecules are approximately 80 nucleotides in length. The record is from Rfam by way of RNAcentral. Lineage: Eukaryota; Fungi; Ascomycota; Sordariomycetes; Glomerellales; Plectosphaerellaceae.